CAUUCCCUCUGGUUCCUGCACUCGCUUGCAUACUCCCUUUUGUGAGAAGUGGCCAAGAGCAGAGCGAGCUGAGUGAAAUGAGUCACUACAUUUCCCACCCAUGAAGGGGGUUAGGGUCAAGGGAACAAUCCUGUCUCAUCUGGGGGCCCAUAUGGGAUACGAGAAAGGAUUGUGUAUCAGGAUGAUGCUGACUUUGCAGAAUAAGUUCGGAAGGAGCUCCUCAUCAUCAAUUUUUUUGGAAAUAUUUUUGGUGUUCCAGGCCACAGGGCUUCCUCAAGCAGAGGCCACAGCUGGCAGACAAACCACCCCCUUCUUGGAUCAGCCCUGCAAAGUGAAGUAUGCCCUGCUCCCAUGACAGCUUAUGAACCCAGCAUCACAUCCUACUCAGUUCUGAUAAAGAAGACACCUCUCUCAUUCAGAGUUAAACAAAUUCUACUUUCCUUUGUUUGCAUUUUCUCCUACAGUAUGAUGGGAAAAGAGA
This 481-nucleotide long non-coding RNA is filed under the name Homo sapiens (human). RNAcentral describes it as "HSALNT0063484". Lineage: Eukaryota; Metazoa; Chordata; Mammalia; Primates; Hominidae. The record is from RNAcentral.